CCUACGGGUGGCAGCAGUGGGGGAUAUUGCACAAUGGGGGAAACCCUGAUGCAGCGACGCCGCGUGUGGGAAGACGGCCCUCUGGGUUGUAAACCACUGUCCCCAGGGACGAAGAUGACCGUACCUGGGGAGGAAGCUCCGGCAAACUACGUGACAGCAGCCGCGGCAAUACGUAGGGAGCGAGCGUUGUCCGGAAUUACUGGGUGAAAAGGGAGCGUAGGCGGGACUGAAAGUGGGGUGUCAAAUCUACGGGCUCAACCGGUAGCCGCACUCAAAACUGCAGUUCUUGAGUGAAGUAGAGGCAGGCGGAAUGCGUAGUGUAGCGGUGAAAUGCGUAGAUAUUAGGAAGAACACCAGUGGCGAAGGCGGCCUGCUGGGCUUUUACUGACGCUGAGGCUCGAAAGUGUGGGGAGCAAACAGGAUUAGAUACCCGAGUAGUC
This 440-nucleotide ribosomal RNA is filed under the name uncultured bacterium. RNAcentral's name for it is "partial 16S ribosomal RNA". It matches the Rfam family "Bacterial small subunit ribosomal RNA", at positions 338 to 795 of the family's 1533-position model. The record is from RNAcentral.